AAGGUCUCCGUUGGUGAACCAGCGGAGGGAUCAUUAGCGAGUUAAUUACAAACUCCAAACCCAUGUGAACAUACCUACUGUUGCCUCGGCAGGCCGUGCUGCGCGGCUGGAUCGCCCACCCCCCGCGUGGGUAGCUACCCUGGAGUAGCUACCCUGUAGCGGGAGCGGCCCGCCCCGCGGCGCGCCAACAGGCCUGCCGAAGGACCCCUAAACUCUGUUUUGCACCUGUAUCUCUGAGUUUAUUAUACAAAUAAGUUAAAACUUUCAACAACGAGAUCUCUUGGUUCUGGCAUCGAUGAAGAACGCAGCGAAAUGCGAUAAGUAAUGUGAAUUGCAGAAUUCAGUGAAUCAUCGAAUCUUUGAACGCACAUUGCGCCUAAUAGUAUUCUGUUAGGCAUGCCUGUUCGAGCGUCAUUUCAACCCCCAAGCCCUAUUUGCUUGACGUUGGGAGUUUACGGAGACGUAAUUCCUCAAAUAUAGUGGCGGAGCUAGGUCGUGCUCUAAGCGUAGUAACCAAAUUCUCGCUUCUGAAGCCGGCCCGGGUCCUGCCGUAAAACCCCCUAUA
RNAcentral lists this ribosomal RNA (565 nucleotides) under Sordariomycetes sp. RNAcentral's name for it is "eukaryotic LSU rRNA". The stretch from base 260 to 414 matches the Rfam family "5.8S ribosomal RNA". Lineage: Eukaryota; Fungi; Ascomycota; Sordariomycetes. The record is from RNAcentral.